CAGCCGCCGCGGGAAUACGUAGGGUGCAAGCGUUAAUCGGAAUUACUGGGCGUAAAGCGUGCGCAGGCGGUUAUAUAAGACAGAUGUGAAAUCCCCGGGCUCAACCUGGGAACUGCAUUUGUGACUGUAUAGCUAGAGUACGGCAGAGGGGGAUGGAAUUCAGCGUGUAGCAGUGAAAUGCGUAGAUAUGCGGAGGAACACCGAUGGCGAAGGCAAUCCCCUGGGCCUGUACUGACGCUCAUGCACGAAAGCGUGGGGAGCAAACAGGAUUAUAUACCCGUGUAGUCCCUGUCUCUUAUAC
This 301-nucleotide ribosomal RNA is filed under the name uncultured bacterium. RNAcentral describes it as "partial 16S ribosomal RNA". It matches the Rfam family "Bacterial small subunit ribosomal RNA", at positions 509 to 807 of the family's 1533-position model. The record is from RNAcentral.